CAACUGGCGUGACAACCACUGCGACAAACAUCACGGCAUCUACCGCUGCAGCAACAACGAGCACUAUCCUCCCUGCGGGAAAUGCUGCUGAUGAAACCACUCGCCGUAGCCUAUUCGGUGCUGGUCUUUAUCAGAAGGGUUCAGUAUCAGCAACUGUAAGUGCUCCGGUGGCAGUUCAAACUCCUCCAGCUGUACGUAGCU
Molecule: long non-coding RNA, 201 nt
Filed under: Brassica napus (rape)
Lineage: Eukaryota; Viridiplantae; Streptophyta; Magnoliopsida; Brassicales; Brassicaceae
Description: long non-coding RNA (BNAP_LNC012720)
Source: RNAcentral